UAGAUGCGCAUCUUCCUUCAUUUGAGCUAC
This 30-nucleotide non-coding RNA is filed under the name Mus musculus (house mouse). Lineage: Eukaryota; Metazoa; Chordata; Mammalia; Rodentia; Muridae. The record is from RNAcentral.